UCAAUUAGGAGAGAGGGAGGACAGAGAGAAAGAGAGAGGGAGAGAGAGAGGGAGUGAGAGUAGUAGAGUAGAGUAGAGCAGUGUGACUGUGGAGCUCUAUCAGUACCAGUAUCUGUAUCUGUAGGUGGUUAACGUUAUGCUCCUCGGUUAGAGCUCGCGACGGACUGCAGGCUGCGGGAGGAGGACGCCGGUCACACGCGCGCAACUUUUGGUUUUUGGCUUUUGCUCAGAACUGAACCGACCCGACCCACAGUCUCCACCGAACCUACAGCGGAUCUCUCUCUCUCUCUCACAGAACAAUCAACACUAUGGGCUCUAAGACCGGGGCGGCUCGGCUCCGCGCGGGUUCGGUUCCGCCCGGCCCGGUUCUGCUCUCGGUGGCGCUGAUUUUACCGCUGUGCGUCGCUUUUAACCUGGAUGUGGAGAACCCGGCGGUGUACGGCGGACCCGCGGGGAGCUACUUCGGCUACUCUGUGGACUUUUAUAUGACCGAGUCUCCAAGUGUAUCAGUCAUAGUUGGAGCACCCAAGGCUAAUACCAGCCAGCCCAGGAUCCGAGAGGGGGGCUCGGUGUUCUACUGCCCGUGGAGCCGAGGCCGGGAAGACUGCAGCAGCAUAGAGUUCGACAGACAGGGAGAUCUUAACGUGACCCUGAACGAGACUGAGAUCCAGGCUGAGUUCAAGUCCCACCAGUGGUUCGGAGCGACAGUGCGGGCCCACAAAGACACGGUGUUGGCUUGUGCUCCUCUUUACUCCUGGAGAACCAAGCAGGACACGCCUGAGGCAGAUGUCACCGGCUCCUGCUAUCUGUCUGUUAGAAACUUCACCAAGUUUGUGGAAUAUGCUCCCUGCCGCACAGAGUUUCAUGGAGAAAAGGGCCAAGGUUACUGUCAAGGUGGAUUCAGUGCAGAUUUCACUAAGGAUGGGAAGGUAGUACUUGGUGGACCUGGCAGCUAUUUUUGGCAAGGACAACUGAUUUCUGCUGUGAAGGAGGAAAUCGUCAAGGCCUAUUACCCAGGGUUCUUCCUCACGUCAGUGAUGGGUCAGUUUCAGACCAAGCAAAAGAAAGAGAUCGUCUUUGACGACACUUACAUGGGUUAUUCUGUGGCAGUGGGAGAGUUCAGCGGAGAUAAUGAGGAAGACUUUGUGACAGGAGUUCCCAGAGGAGUGCGUCUCCAUGGCCAGGUGUCUAUUCUGAAUGGCUCUUUGGAGACCUUGAAAACCUUCACUGGUGAGCAGAUGGGCUCCUACUUCGGCUAUGCUGUAGCUACUACAGAUAUCAACAAUGACGGGCUGAUGGAUCUGUUGGUUGGAGCGCCCAUGUUCAUGGUACGUGAUUCGGACGGUAGAUUGGAGGAGCUGGGCCGUGUGUACGUGUACCUGCAGACCGGCCCGCUCACACUCAUACCGCAGCUACCUCACCUCACCGGCACUCAGACGUUUGGCCGCUUUGGGAGCUCCAUAGCGCCGCUUGGAGAUCUCAACCAGGAUGGCUUUAAUGACGUGGCCAUCAGCAGUCCGUUCAGUGGGAAAGAUGAGCAGGGGCAGGUCUUUAUCUAUAACGGCUAUGCUGAAGGACUCAGGGACAAACCCUCUCAGGUUCUUGCUGGACAGUGGGCGUCAAAUGCCCCUCCCGCCCCACCUGCUAGCUUUGGCUUUGCCCUGCGAGGAGGCAAAGAUCUGGACCAGAAUGGCUACCCUGACCUCAUUGUGGGAGCGUUUGGAGUUGAUAAGGCAGUUCUGUACAGAUCUCGUCCCAUAGUCAACACCAGUGCUACUUUAAGUGUGUAUCCAACCAUGAUAAACCCCGAAGAGAGGGCGUGUGCCAUUAGCAGUGGGAACCAGACCAUACACGUCUCCUGCGUCAACUUGAGCUUCUGCCUCUCAGCCAAUGGGAAGCACCUUCCAGAGACUCUAGUGUUUAAUGUGGAGGUGCAGCUGGACCGGAUGAAGCAGAAGCAGAAGGGGGCAGUCCGCAGAGCUCUGUUUCUGGACACCCAGCAGGCCAGUCUGCAGAGGAAGCUCACAGUACCCAACGAUGCCACCGUCUGCCACAAAACUGACAUCUACCUAAGGGAUGAGAAGGAGUUUCGGGAUAAGCUCUCCUCCAUCUUUAUCGCUCUCAACUUCAGUCUGGAUCCAGAGGCUGCAGCAGAUAAGCACGGCCUGCGCCCCAUCCUCAAUUACCAGACCACUGAGCUCAUCGAACAGAAGGCCCAGAUUUUACUGGACUGUGGAGAGGACAACAUCUGCGUCCCUGACCUGAAACUUUCUGUGCAUGGGGACAGGAAGGAAGUGUACAUGGGGGACGACAACGCACUGACCCUGACCUUCAAUGCCCGGAACGAUGGGGGCGGAGCUUAUGAAGCUGAGUUGCAUGUGGUGCUUCCUCCGGAGGUGGACUACAGCGGAAUCGCUCGCAAUAAUGAGAGUCUGACUCAGCUGACCUGCAGCUACGAGACCGAGAACCAAACGCGAUAUCUGAGCUGUGACCUGGGAAAUCCCAUGAAGUCUGGCACCAAUCUGUGGGCAGGCCUGCGGUUCACAGUGCCACGACUGAAGGACACUCGCAAGGUGGUGCAGUUUGAUCUACAGAUCCGCAGUAAAAACGAGAAUAACUCCCAAAGUGAGGUCGUCCCCUACAAGUUGGAUGUUGUAGUGAAGGCUGAUGUUAUUUUGCAGGGUGUGUCUCGACCAGAUAAAGUCUUCUUUCCACUUCCGAAAUGGAGGACAACCAAGAAUCUGGCCAUGGAACAGGAACUCGGGCCUCAAGUGCAGCACAUCUAUGAGUUGGUGAAUAAUGGUCCGAGUCGUGUCAGCCACACGCUCCUCCAGCUGAAGUGCCCGAUGAGGCUGCAGGGCCACAGGUUCCUGUACCCGCUGGAGGUCACCACUCAGGGGCCUGUAAACUGCACCACACACAACAUAGUCAACCCCAUGAACCUGAAGCUUCAGCAGUCCUCCACAGAGCAGCCGUCCUCCCCGAAGCAGGAGCACCACAUCGAAAAGCGAGAAACACACAAGGGAGACCUCGCAGAACUGACCAACCUGGUGAGAUCUCAAGCACACAAAUCUUACACAUCAACACAAGUGGGAGUGUGAAGAAUUACUGAUAAAAAAAAAAAAAAACUGAACACAUGAAUCACUCUUAAGUUCAUUAAUAUAUUUAUUUAUGUAUUUAUUAGUAAGGAUUGUAGUAUAGUAGGGCGUUGCAUGGAGGAGUAAGGUAAGGAGUAGAGUCAGGAGUAGAGGAAAAAAUAGAAUAGAGUAAGGAUUAGACUAGGAAGUGUAAUAGUACAGAAAAAAGUAGAAUACAGUUUGUAGUAAAGUAGGGAGUAGAGUAUAGUAAGGAGUAUAGUACAGUAGGGAGUGGAGUAAAAUAGGCAAUAGAGUAGAGCAAGGAGUAGAAUAAAGUAGGGAAUAAGUAAGGGAGUAUAGUAGAGCAGAGAGAAGAGUAAGGAGUAGAGUAGAAUGUAUGUUGGAAUGUAAAGUAACAAGUACAGUGGAAUAGAGUAGGGAGUAUAGUAGAGCAGGGAGAGGAGUAAGGAGUAGAGUAGGGUGUAUGUUAGAAAGUAGAGUAACGAGUAUAGUAGAAUAGAGUAGGGAGUAAGUUAGGGAGUAGAGUAGGCAGUAUAGUAAGGAGUAGAUUAGGGAGUACAAUAAGGACUAUAGUGAGUAUAGUAGAGUAGAUCAGGCAGUAGAAUAGAGUAAGGAGUACAAUAGAGAAGGGAAAAAGUUAGCAAGUAAGGUUGAAUAAGAAGUAUAGUUGAGUAAAGAAGGGCUGGUGUGGAAUAAACUAGAGCAUGGCAUGGAGUAGGGUAGGGAGUAGAAUAGAGUAGGGAGUAUGUUAGGAAGUAUAGUAUAGUAGAGUAGGGAGUAAAGUAAGGACUAUUGUAGAAUAGAGUAAGGAGUAUAGUAGAAUAUAGUAGGGAGUAGAGUAAGACGUAUGGUAGAGUAUGGAGUAUAGUAGAACAGAGUAGGGAGCAGAGUAAGGGGUAUAGUAGAAUAGUGACCUGGAGUACAGUAAGGAGAUGAGUUGAGUACACUAGAAUUGAGGCAGUAUAAUAGAGUAAGGAAAGGUUAGUUAGUAUAGUAGGGAGUAUAGUAAGAAGUAUAGUUGAGUGGAAAAGGGCUGGUGUGGAAUAAACGAGCGUGGCAUGGAGUAGGGUAGGGAGUAGAAUAGAGUAGGGAGUAUGUUAGGAAGUAUAGUAGAGGAGGGAGUAUGUUAGGAGGUAUAGUAUAGUAGAGUAAAGUAAGUACGAUUGAAGAAUAGAGUAAGGAGUAUAGUAGAACAGAGUAGGGAGCAAAGUAAGGAGUAUAGUAGAAUAGUGAUGUGGAGUACAGUAAGGAGAUAAGUUGAGUACACUAGAAUUGAGGCAGUAUAAUAGAGUAAGGAAAAGGUUAGUUAGUAUAGUAGGGAGUAGAGUAAGGAGUAAAAUAGAGUGGAACAGAAACUGGUGUGGAGUUAGAGUAGGGAGUUGAGUAUAGUAAGGUGUAUAGUGGAGUAGGGAGUAAAGUAGAGUGAGAGGUAGAAUAGAGUAGGUGUAUAGUAGGGGAUAGAGUAGAGUACGGUGGGAUGUAGAGUAGGGUACCUUACUCUAGUGAAGUAGAGUAAGGUAGGCAGUAGGGAGUAUGGUGGGGUGUAUAGGAGAGUAUAGACCUUGUAGAGGAGUACUGCCAAUAGAAUAGGAAUAGCAGAUACACAUAAACCUAUUGGCACCAUGCCUAUUAAUGGCAAGCAUUGGUUACUGGGGUAUAAACCAUGGAACUGUAUUCUUUGGAGUGAUGGAAAUUCAUCCAAUAUCCUCACCAGAAUCUGAUAGAAAACCUUCUCCAGACAGUUGAGACUCCGGCAAAAGCAGGAUGAACUAUUUUAUAAUUCUCUUGCUUUUGAAAGAAAAACAGUGAAUGAUCCGGUGUCCUAAUACUUUUGUCCAUAUAGUAUAUGCAAGGCUCUGCUAAUGUAUUGCUAUCUGUUCAGGCUCAGUGUUCUCGAGACCUGCUACCCCGGAGUGAACCCAUAAGACCUGGCCAUUAAGUCAUGUAAUGGACUGAAUCGGGUCCUGUGGGUCAGAGAUCUGCUCCGGUUGACCGGCCCGCUUGAAAGGGGCUCUGAUGGCUCUGUGUACGUCUGUGAGAUACAUCAGUUAGCUUAUUAAUUUCAGCCGUGAUUAUCCCUCCAGGGUGUCCUCGCUCUACCUUUUCCCUCGCUGUGUCAUUACCCACCACACCCAGCACCUCUCACACAGCGGCUCUGUUGUCACCGCUAACUGCUGCUAGCGCUGGUCAUCCCCCUGUACCUGAGCGGAUGAAUGGAGGCUUUUGUUCUGCAGGUCGUCAUGCUCAGUUGCCCUCGUUUAUCAUCCUGCAGUUUACGACACGCAGGGCUUUUCUGCAACCUGCUUCUAGUGUUUCUGGUGGGGAUGUGAUGUGGGGGUUAAGCCAAGCCGUAUAAACCAGCUCAGAGGUCAGCUGUAGAUACAGACCCUGGUUUGGCUGUGAUGAGCUUUGAUCCUAGAUAAUGUCAGUACUUUACAAUUGCCUAUUUACAGAUUAAACUAAUUUUUUUAAUCCUUUUUCAACUCUGAAUCUAAUAACAAAUGUAUUUAACUAUUUAAAGCAGGGGUGUCCAAACUACGGAGGUAUUUUAGAACUAGAAUGAAAGUUGGCCCGCUGUUAAGCAGGUUUUUAUAAUGUGAGAUUCAAAGUUUGAACGCUAGGUGUCAGAAACGGGCCAAAGAGUCUAAAAGCGGAGAGAGUGCGCAUUUCUAGCGCAGAAAAACGGGCCAAAGAGUAUAAAAGCGGAGAGAAAUGCGCAGAAAAACGGGCCAGAGAGUCUAAAAGCGGAGAGGGUGUGCUUUUCUAGCUGAAAAAACGGGGCAAAGAGUCUAAAAGUGGAGAGAGUGCGCAUUUCUAGCGCAGAAAAACGGGCCAAAGAGUCUAAAACACACCUAUUACUGGCACUCAGUCCUGUUACUGGAACUCACUCCUGUUACUGGUACCCAUUCACUUACUUUCUUUUUAUGUUUUGAGUAGCAAGAAUAAAAUCAACAAGAAUUUCUAGGAGUUUUUAGCAUAGAAUUAGCAAAAACAUAAAAAAUGGCUAAAUGGCGGCUAUGCUAAUAGCAUGAGGACACUGAGAAAAAUGUGUAUUUUAAAAAUAAACAAAUAAGACCUAAGAAUUAAUUUAAGUAACAUGAGUGAGUGUUAAUGUUGAUGACCUUCUCGGUUAUAGUUACAAUAAGAUCAAAUAUACAGAAAAAAACAAAUGAGGGAACUUAAUUUUGGUCUUCCUGUGGUCUUCAGAAAAAACUGCUGAUGUCACUUCCUGUUGUAGAUGUGACUUGUAGAAUGUUCCAGAUAUUGUUUAAAUGGGGUGAUGUGUUACAAUAACAGGACUGAGUAAAACCCAAGAAUACAACUAAAAUGUGUGUUUUAACUUAAAUAUUAUGGAUGUAUUGUGAAAAAAAUGUAAAGAUUUACAGAUUACAAGCAUUUUAAUAAUUAUAUUUCAUGGUAACGUUUAUAGUUAGAGAGUGGGGACUGGUAACAAAUGCUAUUUUUUCA
Molecule: RNA transcript, 6566 nt
Organism: Astyanax mexicanus (Mexican tetra)
Lineage: Eukaryota; Metazoa; Chordata; Actinopteri; Characiformes; Acestrorhamphidae
Gene: itga5
Gene name: integrin, alpha 5 (fibronectin receptor, alpha polypeptide)
Exons: 27
Source: RefSeq, a predicted model, not a curated record